AGAAAACCUUACGUAAUAAACGCACCCGCCUUAAUUUCUAAUAAAAUAAAUAUUUGGCCCCGUCGCGAAAAUCACCAGACAGUCCGUUUGGCAAUCUAUUUAUAGAACUUGUGUUUACGUGUGUAUCGGCCAAUCAGGAGCCGCGAUCAGCACCGGUCGGUUCCUUUACUGACUUUUUAUUAUUCAUAACCUAUUACUUGUGCAGAAAGACACUCAAGCGCGCUCGCUAGUUUUUGUCGCGAACGGACUUUUUUUUCUGUAACUUUUAUUAUUUUUCUCGCCUUUACAGUGUCGGUCAAACUUUGUAGUUGAUUUUAACCUCAUACAGUCCACUUUAAUAUUUAUUCUUUGUAAUAAAUCAAUUACUCCAAGUUAAACCCGGUUUGUUUUGCUUUACUUCGUAGUAAAAAACCUGAAACUUAAACGUAUACUUCCUUGAAGUUAAAUUCACGAUAUCGAUAAGAUAUUUUCACCGAGUCGAUCGUGAAAAAGUGGUCCGCCCCAACAUUUUGGUCUUCAAGCCGAAUAGAUAAUCAAACCAUUUGAUUAUUUUAACCUGAAUUAGUGCCGAUUGAUUGGAAAUUCGUCGAUGGAUCUUCACUGUUAAAGGUUAGUCCGUUCCAACUUUCAUCUUAACCAAGAGCCGUUAAACCAAGAUUAAGCCACAGCAGCCACCAGAGCCUGUCUUGAAGUCUUUGAACCUAUAUUACCACCCCAAUUCUUAACCGCAGACGUUUUUCUUGCCUUGGUUUAAGGGUUCUCAUGAGUGUCUUUUUGUUUCACCUACUUUAAAAAAUAUUUGUUUCAGUCAUAAUUUUAAAAUAUCAUUUGUUUUCCGUACAUGCUUUAUAACCCUUUUUUAUUUAGGUGGUGUUUAUUUGUACUUUACUCGUUUAAACCUCACAUACCUUCGCGCGUAUAUUAUUUUUGAUUUAUUUGUUGAAUAAACACCUACUUAUAUUAUUCUACACUGGUCACAAAUUUAUGUGAUUUUAUGAAACUUGCAUGUUGGUAAGUACCCAAAACCUUUUGCAGGAUUUAAUUUUAAAGCACUUGGAUUUAAAACAACAAAAUUUUGUACUGUGUUUUAUUGUUCUUAUCUCGUUGUUGGCUCGUUGUUGUAUAAAACCUUUAAUAGCUAAGUAAAGUUUCUUUGUAGGUUGUUUGUAGAAAAAUUGUAAUUGUUACUUUUUACGUAUUUUUUAAACGAAAAAUAAUAGAUUACGAAAUGAGUGAAGAAAUGACCGCAGAAGAGAUUUUAGCUAAAGCUAAAACCGAACUUAAAUUCCUCAUUAAUCGCCGUGGGCAUAUUAAAGGGACUAUCACGCGUUUUCAGGGUUUUUUGAGUUCGUUUACACCAGACACUUUGCAUCUUCCAGAAAGUAUAGCGCAAAUAGAAACGAGAUUAAAGGUUCUGGAACCCUCCUAUGUUGAAUUUGAACGUGCUCAGACAGCCAUUGAAGACCUCUGCGCAGUACACAACCUCCCGGACGCCGAUCAACAAGAAAAUGAUCGCGCUGAGUUUGAAGAAAAAUAUUUCAAGCUUAAACCUUCUCCAGUAACUAUUGCUGAUAAUCCUCAAGGUUUAUUUCAAAAUACUAAUAUGGAUCCGAUUGUGUCGAAUAUGUUUACUACAAAACUUCCUCCAAUUGCCAUUCCGGAGUUCUCAGGUUCCUACGAUACUUGGACUCAGUUUCACGAAACGUUCACAUCCCUUAUUGAUGCCAAUCCAUCCCUAUCAAACGUUCAAAAGUUUUACUAUUUACAAUCAGCUCUUAAGGGUGAUGCAUCUCAUAUCAUUAGCUCUUUAACUGCAACCAAUGAAAAUUACACUAUUGCCUGGAAGUUAUUGAUCAACCGAUACCAAAAUAAAAAAGCCAUUAUCCAUUCACACAUCAAAGCCCUAUUUAACUUGCCUCCAAUUAAGGAGGAAACCCAUUUAAGUUUGCGUAAAUUCUUAGACAAUUUUCAAAAGCAUUUCCGCCUAUUACAGAACCUAGGAGAAAACGUGAUGGAUUGGGAUACGAUGCUUAUCUACUUACUCGUAUCUAAGCUAAAUCAAACGACUCGGAGGGAGUGGGAAAUAUACUCUAAGGAUAAAGAAAGACCUUCAACACAAAACUUUACUGAUUUUCUCACUGAACGGUGUCACUUGCUCGAAUCGAUUGAUUUCAAGGCUGUUAAUAGCAAAUUUGAAAACCCUAAUAGGUCUGUCGCUGCAUACAAGACCCAGUCGCAUGCGGCAUUCGUAGACUAUCCUAAUCCUAUUUCGAAUACUACUUGUCCACUUUGCAAUGAGAGCCAUUUUGUUUAUUCGUGUAAUUGUUUUAUUGAGCUACCAAUAAGUUCUCGCUACAAAGAAGCAAAGCGUUUAAACCUGUGCACUAAUUGUCUUCGCCCUGGUCAUUUUACUUCCGCUUGCAAAUCUAAAUUUACUUGCAAAACAUGUCGUCGUAACCAUCACUCAUUGCUACAUCAAGAUAUCAACCCAACCACUAAUCCUACCACAAGUAAUACAGCAUUUAAGCCAAGAUCGAUUACCAGAUCAAAUCAAGGUGCAAUACCCCGUCAAACAAGUUUAUUCACUCAAACCAAUGACGCGCAUGCUAACAAUCAUUCCCAUAACGCCAUCAUUCCAGCCAUUAAUGAAGCUCAACCCUUAACAAAUCCAAGAAACAAUCCAACGCAAGCACCUCCUACUAACAUACAACAUGAACCAACCAGUAACCAUCAAGAUCCAUCUAACUUACGUUAUAGUUUAUCCUGUGCCAAUGCAACCGCCAACACUUAUGUUCUGCUGUCAACAGCCUUAGUCAAAGUAUAUGAUAACCACCGAAACCCUAUUUUAUGUAAGGCGUUAUUGGACAGCGGUUCACAAUCCAAUUUUGUGUCUAAAACCUUGUUUGAGAAAUUAAACCUCGCUUCUAAUAAAAUUAAUAUUCCCGUCUGUGGAAUCAACCAGGCCACUACCUUUAUUAACAAACGUGUAAAUCUUUCUUUAGCCGCCAAUCACAAUGGCUAUAAAUUCAGUUUAUCAGCUCUUGUAAUAGACAAAAUAACUGAGACUAUUCCACCUCAACCUUUAAAUAUCUCCCAGAUUCCUAUUCCUAUUGAUAUUUGUCUCGCUGAUCCAACCUUUUCUGAGCCCUCAGAAAUAGACCUUCUAAUAGGGGCUAGUUUGUUUUACAGUUUAUUAAGCUCUGGACAAAUAAGCUUAGGAAAAAAUAAUCCGAUGUUGCAAUCAAGUAAGCUAGGCUGGUUGAUUUCUGGCCCAUUGCCUUUUAACCUACCUAGUCAAACAAACUGCUGUUUAAGCUUGAAUGAUUCCGCACUGUAUAAUAGUCUUGAAAGGUUCUGGAAGAUUGAAGAUUCACCCGAUUUAGCCAAUAAACUUUCCGCAGAAGAGACUGAAUGUGAAAGUCAUUUCAUUAAAACCACCAGUCGUGAUAAAUCAGGAAGGUUUCAAGUUUCUCUGCCCACCAAAUCUUGUGUCGAUCAAUUAGGCAGUUCUCAAGACACUGCGAUUAAAAGAUUUUUGUCGAUUGAGCGAAAGUUUUCAAAAAACGCAGAAUUUAAAAAAUCCUAUGUCUCAUUCAUGCAAGAAUAUGUCGACUUAGGUCACAUGACCAAAAUUGAUCCCAGCAAACCCAUUGAUUGUCCUAUCUAUUACAUCCCACAUCACGCGGUGGAGAAGCACGAUAGCUUAACCACAAAAUUACGUGUCGUCUUUGAUGCGUCCGCGAAAUCUACAUCGGGCAUUUCUCUGAAUGAUUGUUUGAAAGUUGGACCAAAUGUUCAAAAUGAUUUGUUUUCAAUUAUCAUUCGUUUUCGACAACAUAAUUAUGUGUUGACUGGUGAUAUAGCGAAAAUGUAUCGCCAGGUCUUGAUCGAGCCUCAGCAACGCCACCUUCAGAGAAUUGUCUGGCGCGAAAGCUCAGACACUGAGUUAUCUCACUUUCAAUUGAAUACCAUCACGUAUGGCACAGCUAGCGCCUCGUUCUUGGCGACUCGUUGCCUGAAGCAAAUAUCGCUAGACAAACGUUCUGAAUACCCUGUUGAAAGUGAAAUCAUAGAAAAGGACUGUUAUGUUGAUGACGUCAUAACCGGAAGUGCCUCAUCAGAAGGUCUUCUAAAAAUAAGAAAUAACCUCUCAACAAUUUUUAAGGAAUACGGUUUUGACUUAAGAAAAUUUGCUUCAAAUGACCCAUGUUUAUUGUCCGAUUUAGCAAACGAAAACUCAAUUGAAUUUUCCAUUAACGAUUCCCAGAGUUCCAAAACAUUAGGAAUUGUAUGGAAUUCAUUAUCUGAUAAAUUAAUCUACCAUUCAAAUGUUAAUCCUAAUCCAAGUAUAGUAACCAAGCGUUCUAUCCUAUCCGAUAUCUCUCAAGUCUUCGAUCCCUUGGGAUUGCUAGGCCCUAUGAUAAUUCAAGCUAAGUGUCUUCUACAAAAACUAUGGUUAUUAAAAAUCCCCUGGGAUGAACCUGUUCCAUCUGAUAUUCGCCAAAAAUGGUUAAAUUUUGUUAACAAUCUUCACUCGGCUAGCACUAUAAAAAUUCCACGUCAUGCCUUUCUAAAGAAUGCUUCUACCUUUCAAUUACAUGGAUUUUCCGACGCAUCCAUCAAUGCUUAUGGUGCGUGCAUAUACAUACGAUCCCAAGAUAGGAGUGAUAGUAUAGUCAGCAGAUUAGUUUGCGCCAAGUCGCGUGUCGCUCCUCUCAAGGCGGUUUCAUUGCCGCGUCUAGAACUUUGCGGUGCGCUUUUAUUAGCCAAACUCAUGAAGAAACUUUGUGAAACCUUAGACAAUCGACCCAUUGAGUUAUUCUAUUGGACAGACUCGUCUAUCGUCCUUUCCUGGUUAUGCUUAGAACCCCGAACUUUAAAGACCUUUGCAUGCAACCGCGUAGCGGAAAUACAGCAUCUCACAGACACAAAUAAUUGGUAUCAUAUUCCUUCAGCAAAAAAUCCUGCUGAUUUAAUCUCCAGGGGGAUUGAUCCUCAUGACCUAAAAAAUAGUGACUUGUGGUGGCACGGUCCUAGUUUUUUAAUUGAAUGCACUGAGAAUUGGCCCACUAUCAAUCACAUUAGCAAAUAUGCACGUCAACCCAAUGACUCAAACCAAAUACCCGAAUUUAAUCCUAAUCGUGUGACAUUAACCACAAUUAUUCCUUCCCAAUUUUUGAAUGAAAUCUUGAAUAAAUACUCAAGUUUUACUAAAUUGAUUCGUAUUUUAUCGUAUUGUUUUCGCUUUGUAUUUAAUUGUAAAGCAUCCAUGGGAUUAAGGAAAACUGGCCCUAUUCAACCUUGUGAAUUUGAUGAAACUCUAGGCUUUGUAGUCAAGCAAAUUCAAGGGGAAUAUUUUGGUGAUGAGAUCGAACGAUGUAAACGAGGCAAGAAUGUCCGAACCUCCAGUCGUCUAAGCACGUUAAACCCGUUUCUCGAUAAGGACGGUAUUCUCCGAGUUGGAGGUCGAUUAAUACACGCCAAAGUUAACUUUGAUUACAAACACCCUCUGUUGCUUCCCCAUGACUCUGUCUUUACAAGGUUAAUAAUUCAGUAUGUGCAUGAGAAAAACUUGCAUCCAGGCGUUCAUUCUACCUUAUCCUUUGUUCGCCAAAGAUUUUGGUCCAUAAAUGGCAAAACCCUUGUAAAGGGUAUUAUACGAAAAUGUAUUCGAUGCUUUAAAGCAAAUCCAAGACACCUUCAACCACAAAUGGGGGAUCUACCUGCCCAAAGAGUAACGCCUUCUUAUCCCUUUUGCUCUGCAGGUGUGGAUUAUGCAGGUCCCUUCAUCAUUAAAGAUUCAAAAUUUCGAAAUAAAAAAUACCUCAAAGGAUAUUUGUGUAUUUUUAUUUGCCUGUCCACCAAAGCCGUCCAUGUAGAGUUAGCUACAGAACUAACAACACAGGCUUUCAUUGCUGCCUUCAAGCGGUUUGUGGCUCGGCGUGGGGUUUGUGAAUCCCUAUUUUCUGACAACGGUUCGAAUUUUGUGGGAGCCAACAACGAGUUUAACGCAAUAAAUAAUGUUUUACGCGACAGCAAGUUUCAAAGGUUUUUGGAAAUAACCAAUAUGAAGUGGCAUUUCAUACCAUCUCGAUCACCUCACUUCGGAGGUGUGUGGGAGGCGGCGGUGAAGUCUUUUAAGCAGCACCUGAAGCGCGUUGUAAACAAUACUCCUUUAACUUAUGAGGAACUUUAUACCCUGGUGGUUCGAAUUGAAGCGGUUUUGAAUUCGAGGCCGUUGGUUCAAAUGUCGGACGAUCCAAACGAUUUUGAUAGCCUGACGCCAGGGCAUUUCUUAAUCGGACGCCCUUUGAAUGCCUUGCCUGAAUCAGAUUUAAGGGAAGUUCCUGUAAAUCGCCUAGGUCGUUAUGCUCACAUUCAAAGGAUGACUCAGCAUUUCUGGAGCCGGUGGUCUUCUGACUACUUGCAUACUCUUCACCAGCGCUUUAAAUGGAAGAUGAAGACUAACAUUGACAAUCUGCUUGGUGUUCUAGUGUUAAUUAAGGAGGAUGGCCUUCCUUCGCAGUGUUGGAGUGUUGGACGAGUCAUAGACAUUCAUCCUGGUAAGGACAAUGUAGUGCGCGUGGUGAGCAUAAAGACAAAGGGGGGCGUGAUUAAACGAAGUAUAGUAAAGGUGUGUCCGCUACCAUUAGAGACUGAGACAAUCCAUUAGAAUUUCUAUGUUUUUUGCAGUGACCUUUUAUUUAUUGAAACUCUCUCGCUUUCUUAACUCCGUCAUUUCAAGGGCGGCGGUAUGUUACGAGAAAACCUUACGUAAUAAACGCACCCGCCUUAAUUUCUAAUAAAAUAAAUAUUUGGCCCCGUCGCGAAAAUCACCAGACAGUCCGUUUGGCAAUCUAUUUAUAGAACUUGUGUUUACGUGUGUAUCGGCCAAUCAGGAGCCGCGAUCAGCACCGGUCGGUUCCUUUACUGACUUUUUAUUAUUCAUAACCUAUUACUUGUGCAGAAAGACACUCAAGCGCGCUCGCUAGUUUUUGUCGCGAACGGACUUUUUUUUCUGUAACUUUUAUUAUUUUUCUCGCCUUUACAGUGUCGGUCAAACUUUGUAGUUGAUUUUAACCUCAUACAGUCCACUUUAAUAUUUAUUCUUUGUAAUAAAUCAAUUACUCCAAGUUAAACCCGGUUUGUUUUGCUUUACUUCGUAGUAAAAAACCUGAAACUUAAACGUAUACUUCCUUGAAGUUAAAUUCACGAUAUCGAUAAGAUAUUUUCACCGAGUCGAUCGUGAAAAAGUGGUCCGCCCCAACAGUGUUUUUUUGAAAGUAUACGAACCACAAGGGGCGAAACCGUAGGUUUACCAACCCCGAGGAGCUGGAGGAGGAACGUAGAAAAGAGGAAUUGAAAAAAAAAUGGAGGCAGCAGCACGGAGGCGACGAGUCGAGUAGCGAAGAGGAGGAGGAAAAGAAGAUCAGCGAAGAAUCUGGUAGUGAGGAGGAGGAGAGCAGCAGUGAGGAUGAGGCAGGA
This 7485-nucleotide unclassified non-coding RNA is filed under the name Anthonomus grandis grandis. RNAcentral describes it as "28 kDa heat- and acid-stable phosphoprotein-like". Lineage: Eukaryota; Metazoa; Arthropoda; Insecta; Coleoptera; Curculionidae. The record is from RNAcentral.